This 522-nucleotide ribosomal RNA is filed under the name uncultured bacterium. RNAcentral describes it as "bacterial SSU rRNA". It matches the Rfam family "Bacterial small subunit ribosomal RNA", at positions 28 to 595 of the family's 1533-position model. The record is from RNAcentral.
AGCGAACGCUGGCGGCAGGCCUAACACAUGCAAGUCGAACGGACCCUUCGGGGUUAGUGGCGGACGGGUGAGUAACACGUGGGAACGUGCCUUUAGGUUCGGAAUAGCUCCUGGAAACGGGUGGUAAUGCCGAAUGUGCCCUUCGGGGGAAAGAUUUAUCGCCUUUAGAGCGGCCCGCGUCUGAUUAGCUUGUUGGUGGGGUAAUGGCCCACCGAGGCUACGAUCAGUAGCUGGUCUGAGAGGAUGACCAGCCACAUUGGGACUGGGACACGGCCCAAACUCCUACGGGAGGCAGCAGUGGGGAAUCUUGCGCAAUGGGCGAAAGCCUGACGCAGCCAUGCCGCGUGUAUGAUGAAGGUCUUAGGAUUGUAAAAUACUUUCACCGGUGAAGAUAAUGACUGUAGCCGGAGAAGAAGCCCCGGCUAACUUCGUGCCAGCAGUCGCGGUAAUACGAAGGGGGCGUAGCGUUGCUCGGAAUUACUGGGCGUAAAGGGAGCGUAGGCGGACAUUUAAGUCAGGGGU